AUACGUAGGGGGCGAGCGUUGUCCGGAAUCACUGGGCGUAAAGGGUUCGCAGGCGGCCUUGCAAGUCAGAUGUGAAAUCCUUCGGCUUAACCGAAGUAAGCAUUUGAAACUGUAGGGCUUGAGUACAGGAGAGGAGAGCAGAAUUCCUAGUGUAGCGGUGAAAUGCGUAGAUAUUAGGAGGAAUACCAGUGGCGAAGGCGGCUCUCUGGACUGUAACUGACGCUGAGGAACGAAAGCGUGGGUAGCAAACAGGAUUAGAUACCCUGGUAGUCCACGCCGUAAACGAUGAGUGCUAGGUGUCGGAGGCGACAGUCUUCGGUGCCGCAGUUAACGCAUUAAGCACUCCGCCUGGGGAUUACGAUCGCAAGGUUGAA
RNAcentral lists this ribosomal RNA (374 nucleotides) under uncultured bacterium. RNAcentral describes it as "bacterial SSU rRNA". It matches the Rfam family "Bacterial small subunit ribosomal RNA", at positions 523 to 898 of the family's 1533-position model. The record is from RNAcentral.